Molecule: long non-coding RNA, 1398 nt
Filed under: Ficedula albicollis (Collared flycatcher)
Lineage: Eukaryota; Metazoa; Chordata; Aves; Passeriformes; Muscicapidae
Description: lncRNA (ENSFALG00000023891.1)
Source: RNAcentral
GAGACCCUGUUCCAGUGCCUGAUCACGCUCUGGGUGAAGAAACUUUUCCUAAUACCCAACCAAAACCUCUCCUGACAGAGCUUCAGGCCAUUCCCUCAGGUCCUGUCACUGGUCACCAGAGAGAAGAGAUCACUGCCACUCCUCCAGCACUCCCCUAGACCUUUCACCAUCUUUGUAGCCCUCCUUUGGAUGCUUUCUAAUGGCUUUAUUUCUUCUGUUGUGGUGCCCUAAACUGCACAUAGACUUGAGGGUGAGGCCACAGCAGCACAGAACACAGCAGUCUCUUUCCACUCUCUCCAGCCUCUCAUUCCUCAGUCUGUACCUACAUCCAGGGUUUCCUGUUAUAACAUUCCCUGUUAUUUAAUGUGUUUAGCAGGAAAACCACACAGGUGAAUACCUGGCUCAGAGCCUGGUGUUACCAGCGGAAUUUUGGGGGCUUUGAUCACAGGUCAGCUUUCAGGCCUGGUGGCUGCAGUGGGGUGCACCUGUCUCAAAGGGGAGAGGGAUCUCUGCUCAGGAGUCAGCAUGGCUUGUUGAGACAACUGUAAAUUAGAUUUCAAGGAGAAGGGGUUAAGCCUGACUCACUAAGGAUAAGCUUAGGGGCGGCACGCUGGUUUUAGAAGGACAGUUGCAGAGGUAGGAAAUGGUGUCUUUAAUAGUAAUGAAACUGUAGCAAAAGGAGAUGGGAAAAUCUAGUUUCUUGAUAGAAUGCUGUCUGACAAAAAUAGUCAAAAGUCACUUGCAGUUGGCUCUUUUAUGUAGUCUUUAUAGGGAGCUUUUGAUAUAGAUUUCUGAGAAGAAAGACCUGAGUGGCUCUGUACUCCCAUGCACAGUGCUGCCUCCCAAAAUAGGGCCACCCUUCUCCACUUCUGCUCCUUCCAUGCUCAUGCAGAAACAGGAAAUUCAGCAGUGGGCAGACUGAGGAAUUCAGGGACAGUGGAAGCACCUUGGGGAGCCCUGGUGGAGGCUGUGGGCUGUGAGGUCACAGAGCCCCUCUGGCAUGUUCCGUGCCAGCUGGGGGCAAUGCUGCAGCAGCAGCAUGCUGUGAGGAUGGGGGGCAUGGUGCUCACCCAGUGCCUCCUCCUCUUUCUGGUGCUCCUGCAAGCCCAGGACACGCAGCCUGCUCCAGCUGGAGGGCAGGGAGCAGAUGUGGCCAGAGAGAGGGCUUUUCCACCUCCUCAGGAGGAUCCUGUGCUGGUUCCCGGCUUGUAUCACUCGGGAGUCUGUGGCUUUGUAGCUGAGGAGCCAAAGUGCUGCCAAGUUCAAGUGUGUGAGCUACAGCAAAAUGAAGAAACUAAAACCAAAUCAGGAAAACACAGGAAGUAAAUGAACAGAAGUAUUCUGAGCCCUACAAAUUAGCAAUAAACUAGAUAUAAUUAUAUCUGUGCUUUUUGGUCC